AACGCUAGCUACAGGCUUAACACAUGCAAGUCGAGGGGCAGCAUUUUAGUUUGCUUGCAAACUGAAGAUGGCGACCGGCGCACGGGUGAGUAACACGUAUCCAACCUACCGAUAACUCCGGAAUAGCCUUUCGAAAGAAAGAUUAAUACCGGAUAGCAUACGAAUAUCGCAUGAUAUUUUUAUUAAAGAAUUUCGGUUAUCGAUGGGGAUGCGUUCCAUUAGUUUGUUGGCGGGGUAACGGCCCACCAAGACUACGAUGGAUAGGGGUUCUGAGAGGAAGGUCCCCCACAUUGGAACUGAGACACGGUCCAAACUCCUACGGGAGGCAGCAGUGAGGAAUAUUGGUCAAUGGGCGAGAGCCUGAACCAGCCAAGUAGCGUGAAGGAUGAAGGCUCUAUGGGUCGUAAACUUCUUUUAUAUGGGAAUAAAGUUUUCCACGUGUGGAAUUUUGUAUGUACCAUAUGAAUAAGGAUCGGCUAACUCCGUGCCAGCAGCCGCGGUAAUACGGAGGGUCCGAGCGUUAUCCGGAUUUAUUGGGUUUAAAGGGAGCGUAGGUGGAUUGUUAAGUCAGUUGUGAAAGUUUGCGGCUCAACCGUAAAAUUGCAGUUGAAACUGGCAGUCUUGAGUACAGUAGAGGUGGGCGGAAUUCGUGGUGUAGCGGUGAAAUGCUUAGAUAUCACGAAGAACUCCGAUUGCGAAGGCAGCUCACUAGACUGUCACUGACACUGAUGCUCGAAAGUGUGGGUAUCAAACAGGAUUAGAUACCCUGGUAGUCCACACAGUAAACGAUGAAUACUCGCUGUUUGCGAUAUACAGUAAGCGGCCAAGCGAAAGCAUUAAGUAUUCCACCUGGGGAGUACGCCGGCAACGGUGAAACUCAAAGGAAUUGACGGGGGCCCGCACAAGCGGAGGAACAUGUGGUUUAAUUCGAUGAUACGCGAGGAACCUUACCCGGGCUUAAAUUGCAACAGAAUAUAUUGGAAACAGUAUAGCCGUAAGGCUGUUGUGAAGGUGCUGCAUGGUUGUCGUCAGCUCGUGCCGUGAGGUGUCGGCUUAAGUGCCAUAACGAGCGCAACCCUUAUCUUUAGUUACUAACAGGUUAUGCUGAGGACUCUAGAGAGACUGCCGUCGUAAGAUGUGAGGAAGGUGGGGAUGACGUCAAAUCAGCACGGCCCUUACGUCCGGGGCUACACACGUGUUACAAUGGGGGGUACAGAAGGCGGCUACCUGGUGACAGGAUGCUAAUCCCAAAAACCUCUCUCAGUUCGGAUCGAAGUCUGCAACCCGACUUCGUGAAGCUGGAUUCGCUAGUAAUCGCGCAUCAGCCAUGGCGCGGUGAAUACGUUCCCGGGCCUUGUACACACCGCCCGUCAAGCCAUGAAAGCCGGGGGUACCUGAAGUACGUAACCGCAAGGAGCGUCCUAGGGUAAAACUGGUAAUUGGGGC
RNAcentral lists this ribosomal RNA (1446 nucleotides) under uncultured organism. Its description in RNAcentral is "SSU rRNA". It matches the Rfam family "Bacterial small subunit ribosomal RNA". The record is from RNAcentral.